CAAAAAGUAUUUUCUGUAAUUUCAUGGUGUUUGUUCUAUUAUGAAUUGUGAUUAUCGGUACUGCGAUAAAUUCAGAAUAGUGUAGUAAAUACCGUUUUGUCAAGAAAACAGUACUAAUUCUACAUAACCUCACUUCUACAAGCAAUGCAGAAAAUGCAAUUUCUCAACACAAACAAAAUGAUGAAUGUCCGGGCGCAACCAAAAAAAAGAA
Long non-coding RNA from Zophobas morio, 211 nucleotides. RefSeq lists it as uncharacterized. The transcript has 2 exons. NCBI's taxonomy places the organism in Eukaryota, Metazoa, Arthropoda, Insecta, Coleoptera, Tenebrionidae. The record is from RefSeq and is a predicted model, not a curated record.